RNAcentral lists this ribosomal RNA (186 nucleotides) under Tomentella testaceogilva. Its description in RNAcentral is "partial 28S ribosomal RNA". It matches the Rfam family "Eukaryotic large subunit ribosomal RNA", at positions 1 to 173 of the family's 3401-position model. The record is from RNAcentral. Lineage: Eukaryota; Fungi; Basidiomycota; Agaricomycetes; Thelephorales; Thelephoraceae.
UUUGAACGUUCGAUCUCAAAUCAGGUAGGACUACCCGCUGAACUUAAGCAUAUCAAUAAGCGGAGGAAAAGAAACUAACAAGGAUUCCCCUAGUAACUGCGAGUGAAGCGGGAAGAGCUCAAAUUUAAAAUCUGGCGUGCCUCUGGUCGUCCGAGUUGUAGUCUAGAGAAGUGUUUUCCGUGCUGG